Long non-coding RNA from Cucumis sativus (cucumber), 927 nucleotides. RefSeq lists it as uncharacterized. The transcript has 4 exons. The record is from RefSeq and is a predicted model, not a curated record. Lineage: Eukaryota; Viridiplantae; Streptophyta; Magnoliopsida; Cucurbitales; Cucurbitaceae.
CGCAACCCCCCCUCCUUUUCAUUUUUUUUUUCUUUUCGUUUUCUCCUUCAUCUUGCCCGAGCCGCCGACCACCCCUCUCCCUCUCUUCUUCCCCGUUCACUCUAGCAGCCGCUGACCGUCCGCAGACGUUCCGCCAAAGCCGUCGCCGUGAUUCUGUUCCUCCGCCAAGGCCGUCGCCGCAAUUCUGGUCCCCGCAAACUGCCGUCUCCCCGUUGAAGCCGAACCCGACCGAACACCUAAACUCCAUCUGCAAGGCUGCCGACUGUUCAUACCGUCCGAUCUCUUCUCCUCGUUCCGUACCGCCGCGAGUCAUCCCAAACUUCUAUGACCCUCUGUCUCCGUUCGUCCCAGUUUGUGAAGUCGCCGGAUCGGUUCUACACAUUGUGUGAUUUUUUUGUUCGUACGCCGCUGCAACUUUUACCUUGUCGUGAGUUGCCAUAAUUGUUGUUGGUACUAAUUGAGGUUAGUGAGCGGAUCCUUGGUUUGUAAUAGGUUGAGUUGGAUUCGUCUCCCCAUUUGAGGAUUUGAUUGUUGGAAUUAGUUCGAUCAAGGAUCUUGCAUAAAAUCAAGGCAAAGGAAACAAGGGUGGCAGAUCGACGAGGGGCAAGAAGGAAACGUGAUCGCCAUAGGGGACAUUUUAAAUUCGCUUCCGCUUGAUGAUUUAUCUUUUUGUUUUGUUUCGUACUUGAGACUGUUUAGAAAAUUUGAGAUUUAACUGUAUUCAAAAACUGAAAAUUUAUAAGUUUUUCUUGAAAGUUUGGUUAUUUUAAAUCGGGCCCAAACAUAAAUUUUGUUUUGUUGAGACUUUAAAUUUAAUUGAAUUUCGUAUUUUGUGUAAACUCAAGUAUUUGUGUUAAACUAACGACUUCGAUUUAGUUAGAAAAGUUGGGUUGUUACAUAUAAUCUUGUUGUUAAGAUCUUUAUAGA